GAUCUCGCCAGUAGGCCACGGCACUCUGAUACAUCUCCAGAGUUUGCUCAGUGGGGCACGUGCGUGUGGUGGAGAGUCACAUUCACGCGCGCGGAGGCGUCACACACACCAUCCAAGAGCCCAUAGAGUCAAAGUCGAAGUAUCUUCCGGGAAUCCGCGGAUGAUAUCGAUUAUCUAUCGCACACCGGGCAAAAGCAACUUAUAGUGACAAAUCUGAAGUGUUUAAGAGAUGGAGGAAACCCCAGCCAAUGAGAAGUCUUGUCAGACUGAUGAGGUCAUAGGUGAGGCAGUAGUACCCGGGCCUGACCAUGCGAGCAAGACGCUAG
Long non-coding RNA from Carassius carassius (crucian carp), 326 nucleotides. RefSeq lists it as uncharacterized. The transcript has 3 exons. The record is from RefSeq and is a predicted model, not a curated record. NCBI's taxonomy places the organism in Eukaryota, Metazoa, Chordata, Actinopteri, Cypriniformes, Cyprinidae.